Molecule: ribosomal RNA, 253 nt
Filed under: uncultured bacterium
Lineage: Bacteria
Description: partial 16S ribosomal RNA
Rfam family: Bacterial small subunit ribosomal RNA
Source: RNAcentral
UACGUAGGUGGCGAGCGUUGUCCGGAUUUACUGGGCGUAAAGGGAGCGUAGGCGGACUUUUAAGUGAGAUGUGAAAUACUCGGGCUCAACUUGAGUGCUGCAUUUCAAACUGGAAGUCUAGAGUGCAGGAGAGGAGAAUGGAAUUCCUAGUGUAGCGGUGAAAUGCGUAGAGAUUAGGAAGAACACCAGUGGCGAAGGCGGCUCUCUGGUCUGCAACUGACGCUGAGGCUCGAAAGCAUGGGUAGCGAACAGG